AACGAACGCUGGCGGCAUGCCUAACACAUGCAAGUCGAACGAGACCUUCGGGUCUAGUGGCGCACGGGUGCGUAACGCGUGGGAACCUGCCCUUAGGUUCGGAAUAACUUCCCGAAAGGGGUGCUAAUACCGGAUAAUGUCUUCGGACCACAGAUUUAUCGACUUUGGAUGGGCCCGCGUUGGAUUAGUUAGUUGGUAGGGUAAAAGCAUACCAAGGCGACGAUCCAUAGCUGGUCUGAGAGGAUGAUCAGCCACACUGGGACUGAGACACGGCCCAGACUCCUACGGGAGGCAGCAGUGUGGAAUAUUGGACAAUGGGCGAAAGCCUGAUCCAGCAAUGCCGCGUGAGUGAUGAAGGCCUUAGGGUUGUAAAGCUCUUUUACCCGGGAUGAUAAUGACAUUACCGGGAGAAUAAGCUCCGGCUAACUCCGUG
RNAcentral lists this ribosomal RNA (433 nucleotides) under uncultured bacterium. RNAcentral's name for it is "partial 16S ribosomal RNA". It matches the Rfam family "Bacterial small subunit ribosomal RNA", at positions 29 to 507 of the family's 1533-position model. The record is from RNAcentral.